Molecule: long non-coding RNA, 371 nt
Organism: Hylaeus volcanicus
Lineage: Eukaryota; Metazoa; Arthropoda; Insecta; Hymenoptera; Colletidae
Exons: 3
Source: RefSeq, a predicted model, not a curated record
CCUAGACACAAAUGGUUUGUUUUAAUAGAAACAAAAUUUAUUAUUAUUUUUUAAACUGACACGUUGUAAAACGGUAGUCUUUAGAACAGUGCCUUCCUCAAAGAAGAUUGAAAUGACAUACAUUAGUCGAAUAUAAAGUUGAAGAAGCGUCAUUUUGGAUGCAUCAAUUGAAGGAUACCACAGAAGUAACGCAAAUAAUGUUUUCCAAUCAAGUGCUUCUUUCGCUAUUAAGCGGUCAAUGCAUCCAGCUAAAACGUGAUGAAUUCGAAGUACAGGUAAAGGUAUUGUUUCAUAUAUUUGCCUUUUUUGCCAUUCAAUCAGCUAUUUGGAUGGAAAAAAAAAAUUCAAACAACCAAUAGCCCCAUACAAAA